Molecule: transfer RNA, 92 nt
Filed under: Vibrio cholerae
Lineage: Bacteria; Pseudomonadati; Pseudomonadota; Gammaproteobacteria; Vibrionales; Vibrionaceae
Description: tRNA-Leu
Source: RNAcentral
GGUACAGUAAAGUGGUACAAAUCUUUAAAGAUUUUAAUUGUUUUAAUCUUGGCAGCUUGCAAUCGAGAGUUCGAAUCUCUCACUCACCGCCA